Molecule: ribosomal RNA, 253 nt
Filed under: uncultured bacterium
Lineage: Bacteria
Description: partial 16S ribosomal RNA
Rfam family: Bacterial small subunit ribosomal RNA
Source: RNAcentral
UACGGAGGGGGCGAGCGUUGUCCGGAAUUACUGGGCGUAAAGGGUGCGUAGGCGGCCUGAUAAGUCAAGUGUGAAAUACCCGGGCUCAACCUGGGUGGUGCACGUGAAACUGUCGGGCUUGAGUGCAGGAGAGGGAAGUGGAAUUCCUAGUGUAGCGGUGAAAUGCGUAGAUAUUAGGAGGAACACCAGUGGCGAAGGCGGCUUCCUGGACUGUAACUGACGCUGAGGCACGAAAGCGUGGGGAGCGAACAGG